This 906-nucleotide ribosomal RNA is filed under the name Triticum aestivum (bread wheat). Its description in RNAcentral is "partial small subunit ribosomal RNA". Lineage: Eukaryota; Viridiplantae; Streptophyta; Magnoliopsida; Poales; Poaceae. The record is from RNAcentral.
AUGGCCUGCACCAGCACGGCCGGCCGAGAUGACGACGACAAACACACAACUCCACCUGGUGCAGCGCACACGUCGCGUACUCCACUGAACCGGGUCUAUAUCAUCACCUCGCACCUGGCAAGUCCCAUCUCACCACGGUUCACUGCUAUAAUGGCUUCCGAGGACUCUGCCGCGCCCGUCGUCGUGGACGACUGCCGGGGCGUGCUGUUGGUGUACAGCGACGGGGCCGUGGUGCGCAGGGAUGGGCCGAGCUUCGCCACGCCGGUGCGGGACGACGGCACCGUGGAGUGGAAGGACGCCGAGUUCGACGCGCCCCGCGGGCUGGGACUCCGGCUCUACAGGCCGCGCCAGCGGAACCAGCUCCUACCGGCCGCCGACUUUACUCGGGUGUUUAUCUCUGGUGACUCCGCGGGAGGCACCAUUGCCCACCACCUGGCCGUGCGUUUCGGCUCCGCGGCCGGGCGCUCUGAGCUGGGCAACGUACGCGUCAGGGGCUACGUCCAACUCAUGCCCUUCUUCGGCGGCACGGAACGGACGAGGUCCGAGGCGGAGUGCCCCGACGACGCGUUCCUCAACCGCCCGCUCAACGACCGCUACUGGCGCCUCUCGCUGCCUCCCGGCGCCACGGUCGACCACCCGGCCUCCAACCCGUUCGGGCCGGACAGCCCGGCGCUGGAGGCGGUGGAGCUGGCCCCGACGCUGGUGGUGGUCGGAGGCCGCGACAUCCUCCGUGACAGGGCCGUGGACUACGCCGCGAGGCUGCGGGCGAUGGGGAAGCCGGUGGGGGUGAGGGAGUUCGAGGGGCAGCAGCACGGCUUCUUCACCAUCGACCCAUGGUCCGCCGCGUCUGCGGAGCUCAUGCGCGCGCUCAAGCGCUUCAUCGACACCGACGGGCGCUUCGACUAG